UCCGCAAUGGACGAAAGUCUGACGGAGCGACGCCGCGUGCGGGAUGAAGGCCCUUGGGUUGUAAACCGCUGUCAGAGGGGAUGAAAUCUUCGGAGGUACUCCUCCGAAGUUGACAGAGCCUCAAAGGAAGUACGGGCUAAGUUCGUGCCAGCAGCCGCGGUAAGACGAACCGUACAAACGUUAUUCGGAAUCACUGGGCUUAAAGGGUGCGUAGGCUGCGCGGUAAGUUGGGUGUGAAAGCCCUCGGCUCAACCGAGGAACUGCGCUCAAAACUACCGUGCUGGAGGGAGACAGAGGUGAGCGGAACUCAGGGUGGAGCGGUGAAAUGCGUUGAUAUCCUGAGGAACACCGGUGGCGAAGGCGGCUCACUGGGUCUCUUCUGACGCUGAGGCACGAAAGCCAAGGUAGCAAACGGGAUUAGAUACCCCGGUAGUCUUGGCUGUAAACGAUGAGCACUUGAUUGAAGGGUCCUCCAUAGCCUUUCAGUCGUAGCGAAAGUGUUAAGUGCUCCGCCUGGGGAGUAUGGUCGCAAGGCUGAAACUCAAAGAA
RNAcentral lists this ribosomal RNA (549 nucleotides) under uncultured bacterium. Its description in RNAcentral is "bacterial SSU rRNA". It matches the Rfam family "Bacterial small subunit ribosomal RNA", at positions 365 to 908 of the family's 1533-position model. The record is from RNAcentral.